Molecule: long non-coding RNA, 1059 nt
Filed under: Bos indicus x Bos taurus (hybrid cattle)
Lineage: Eukaryota; Metazoa; Chordata; Mammalia; Artiodactyla; Bovidae
Description: lncRNA (ENSBIXG00005007830.1)
Source: RNAcentral
AUGCAUCCGGUCCUGCUGCACCCCCAGGAACUCAGCUCCCCCGACCCUGAAACCUCUCUAGAAGGUCAAGCUCAUCUUCAAAUCACACGCCUGGAGCAGCCCCUAAUGGGAGCAGCCCCUGCCCACCCAGCCUCCAGACAAGUCACCAACCUGCUCCUGUCCCCGGGCAGCGUCCCCUGGUCCCGUGUGCUCCCGUCCCACUGCAGUCACAGGAAGGCCGUGACUUAUGAGGCCCCUUUGUCACUGCUCUGGCCUAGCCCCACCCACCCGGAGCCUCCGCCCCUUCCCCCACCCCCCACCAGCUCUUCCAUCUGCUGCCCAGAAUGUCUCUCCCAAGAGCUGGGGAACACAGGCCACAGCAUGAAGGACCCAUCACCCUGCAGGGCGGGGCCCAAAGCACCAAGGGACAAACACCUAUACCCCUCACUUCACAGGGCCUGUCCCAGAGAAGCCCAUGGGGAGGCCCCUCAGGGACCAAGGUCACCAUGUGUCACCCCAGGGGGCCAAGCUAUGAGUAAUGGGCAGGGGGUUUCUGGCAGCCUCGGUGAGUGGCAGCCUGGAGCAGCAACUGGACGCCAGUGUCACACCAGCAGCCACAGCCUCCUCUCUCGUCCAGCAUCGCCUCCCAGGACCUGUGACCCCAAACCCGAGCCAUUUGUGGGACUCUCCAGUGCCCAGGGCACCCCCGCUCUGCCCUGCCCAGCCUCCUCUGCACCUACCCCUUCUCCACAACCCUCCGCAGUCUGUGACAGCCAGCCAAGCACAGCCCCUCCAGAGCCCUCUCAGCCCACCCAACAGCCUCAGAGCCUGACCCAACCAAGGCUUGUGGUGGCGGCGGGGAAAAGUACCCAGUCUAGGCCCCAAGCACUCCCCUGCUGGACCCCAGGACACACCCCCCAGAACCGCCCGACCCCAACCUGGACCAGCCCCUUCUCCCAAGUGCUCCGAGGGUGCCAGGGCCCCUCUGGGUUCAGCUUCUGGAGGCAGAGGUGCUCUGGGGUAGGCAGGCACAGCACAGGGCCCUCAGGCUGCUGGCCAGCAGAGGCCACCAUCCAGUGA